Molecule: long non-coding RNA, 300 nt
Filed under: Gallus gallus (chicken)
Lineage: Eukaryota; Metazoa; Chordata; Aves; Galliformes; Phasianidae
Source: RNAcentral
UCUGGAGGCGGCAAAGGACGCUCAGCACUGCCAUCAAUGUUGAACUUGGCUGCUUGGAUUUUCAGUCCACGUUGGAGAUCACUCACAAAGCAAGUGCGAACUUUUAUGUCCUCUACUACGUCUUCAGGAACAGAGCCCAUUACAGAUGGAAGGCUUUGUCCUUUGGCUAAUCCUGUAUCAACCGUGCACUGCUCCAACAGCCGAUACUCCAGCUCCCUAAAAUAUGGCAGAUUAAGUCACGUAAAGACAGCUAUUAACACACAGUGACUCCCCAUGCUAUGCUUAUCAUACAGUAUUUAC